CAUAAUUCAAGCUCUGCUUGGUGUUGACCAGCAUCGAUUGAUGCUGGUUGAAACUCUUUGGCAUUUUCUAGUCAGAUCUCCAAGCGUGACAGUAUCUCGCUCUAUAGAUUUGUUAGCAAGAUAGCCUAUUAUCGAAAC
RNAcentral lists this unclassified non-coding RNA (138 nucleotides) under uncultured Ascomycota. RNAcentral describes it as "sequence contains ITS2". Lineage: Eukaryota; Fungi; Ascomycota. The record is from RNAcentral.